RNAcentral lists this long non-coding RNA (308 nucleotides) under Cottoperca gobio. RNAcentral describes it as "lncRNA (ENSCGOG00000011424.1)". The record is from RNAcentral. Lineage: Eukaryota; Metazoa; Chordata; Actinopteri; Perciformes; Bovichtidae.
GUGCGUCGAGGCAGUCCAGCGGCUCGCAGCGGGCAGAUCCAGCCUGGAGACCAGCUGGACGCGGUGGAGGGUCGAGCGGUCGGAGGUCUGCAGCACCGAGACCUCGCCCAGAUCCUGAGGAGAGCCGGGAACACACUGAGACUGAGCAUCACACCGAGACACCACUCGUCCUCUCUGUCAGAGGGAGCAGAUCUGGAUAUUGACGGCCGGGUGAUGAAAGGAUCCAGAAGCAGGUCAAAGGAGGAGUCCAGGUUCUACAACGUGGAUCUGGAGCGAGGUCCGACAGGUUUCGGUUUCUCUCUGAGGGG